CACCCCUGGGUGAAGAGGGCAUUGGGUUCAGAGGGAUCUGCACUGACCGCCUCCAAGUUUCUGGGCGGGCCCUGUUCUUAGGCUGUUCCCGCCGCAGCAGAAUAUAAAGUGCUGAAGCCAGAACCCAGACUGGGACGCAAGGCCCAGAACCUGCGCAGGGGCCACCGGCAAUCGGCCACCAUGCCCCUGCCCUGCUGUGCCUCGACUUACCCAUCUGCUGCUGGGGUAAUCCUAACCAUCUCUUACUGAAGGACCGUGAGUGCCUUGUUCAAGUUCAGUGUGGUGAGCCCAUUGGUGGGAGGUGUUUUUCCUCCCCAAAGACUGUAUUUUGAAAAGUACUAAUAAAAUACAGGAGAUGUUGAUAUGGCCCUGGGGGUGGCCGUCUUGAAGGAGGCCUGAUCUAUAUCCUGCCAGUCAGUGGAUGCGACAGAGCUGCUCACCGCCAAGACAUCUGCUGAAUGUGAAGGCUGGAGCAACAGCAACCCUCUUGGUCCAGCAAGAGGACUGGUCUAGCAACCCUCUAGGUAAUCUUGAGGGUGGAAGGCACACAGUAAGAGGGUGGACCAAGCAAGGAUGGAAGGACCCUGGGUCCCAUGAUUGGAGCUGUCCGGCAGCCACCAG
RNAcentral lists this long non-coding RNA (621 nucleotides) under Pan troglodytes (chimpanzee). RNAcentral's name for it is "long non-coding RNA NONPTRT011188". The record is from RNAcentral. Lineage: Eukaryota; Metazoa; Chordata; Mammalia; Primates; Hominidae.